AUACUUACCUAGCAGGGGAGAUACUAUGAUCACCUAGGUGGUUUUCCCAGGGUGAGGCUUAUCCAUUGUACUCCGGAUGUAUUGACCCCUGUGAUUUCCCCAAAUGUAGGAAACUCGACUGCAUAAUUUGUGCUAGUGUUCACUGCAUC
This 149-nucleotide small nuclear RNA is filed under the name Sorex araneus (European shrew). RNAcentral describes it as "U1 spliceosomal RNA (ENSSARG00000016553.1)". It matches the Rfam family "U1 spliceosomal RNA". From Rfam's summary of the family: U1 is a small nuclear RNA (snRNA) component of the spliceosome (involved in pre-mRNA splicing). Its 5' end forms complementary base pairs with the 5' splice junction, thus defining the 5' donor site of an intron. The record is from RNAcentral. Lineage: Eukaryota; Metazoa; Chordata; Mammalia; Eulipotyphla; Soricidae.